This is a microRNA precursor of Equus caballus (horse), 139 nucleotides long. The record is from Ensembl. NCBI's taxonomy places the organism in Eukaryota, Metazoa, Chordata, Mammalia, Perissodactyla, Equidae.
UUCUGGGGGCCGGCAGAGGUGGGGCUCGUGGUCUUGAGGCUGUGGAGAGAGAUGAUCUGGCAGGUUUCCCAUGUGCCUCUCGUCUUUUCUCCAGGCCGUGGCCGCGGUGACAGUUGCUUUUACCAAAGAAGCAUUGAGG